This 390-nucleotide ribosomal RNA is filed under the name Triticum aestivum (bread wheat). Its description in RNAcentral is "partial small subunit ribosomal RNA". Lineage: Eukaryota; Viridiplantae; Streptophyta; Magnoliopsida; Poales; Poaceae. The record is from RNAcentral.
AUGGGCAUGGAGACGGGCGACGGGCUCGAUCUGAGCUUGUCUCUGCGCCAGUACUCGCCACCGAAGUUCCAGCGGGUGUUCUCCUGUUGCUAUUGCCCCCGCAAGUUCAGGACCUGGCAGGCGCUCGGCGGCCACCAGAACGGGCACAAGCUGCAGCGCGACCUGGCCAGGGAGGCCACGGCGGUGGAAGAGCUUGGUAAGGCCGCCGUCGAUGACCACAGCGCUCCGCCGCGCUACGGCGCCCACGCGUGGGGAGCAGGAGGGAGGAUCCACCCUCGUCGACAUCGCCAGCAGGGCACGGGUACUGGUUCGGGAGCAGCCUCCUCCGGGACAAGAAGAGGCAACCAAGAGCUCGCGGAAGAGGCUAUUGACCUGUCCCUGAAGCUAUGA